RNAcentral lists this ribosomal RNA (372 nucleotides) under uncultured bacterium. RNAcentral's name for it is "bacterial SSU rRNA". It matches the Rfam family "Bacterial small subunit ribosomal RNA", at positions 32 to 396 of the family's 1533-position model. The record is from RNAcentral.
AAUCAACGCUGGCGGCGUGCCUCAGACAUGCAAGUCGAACGCGAAAGUUUCCUUCGGGAAGCGAGUAGAGUGGCGCACGGGUGAGUAACACGUAAGUAAUCUACCUCGGGGUGGGGAAUAACAUCGGGAAACCGAUGCUAAUACCGCAUAAUGCAGCGGCUUCUUAUGAAGACAGUUGUUAAAGCAUUUAUGUGCCUGGAGAGGAGCUUGCGGCAGAUUAGCUAGUUGGUAAGGUAAUGGCUUACCAAGGCAACGAUCUGUAGCCGACCUGAGGGGUGGUCGGUCACACUGACACUGAAUAACGGGUCAGACUCCGUACGGAGGCAGCAGUCGGGAAUUUUGGGCAAUGGGCGCAAGCCUGACCCAGCAACG